This 229-nucleotide ribosomal RNA is filed under the name uncultured bacterium. RNAcentral's name for it is "partial 16S ribosomal RNA". It matches the Rfam family "Bacterial small subunit ribosomal RNA", at positions 568 to 796 of the family's 1533-position model. The record is from RNAcentral.
UGCGCAGGCGGACUAUUAAGUCAGUGGUGAAAUCUCUCGGCUCAACCGAGAAACUGCCAUUGAAACUGAUAGUCUUGAGUAUAGUUGUAGUGGGCGGAAUAUAGCAUGUAGCGGUGAAAUGCUUAGAUAUGCUAUAGAACACCGAUCGCGAAGGCAGCUCACUAAACUAUAACUGACGCUCAGGCACGAAAGCGUGGGGAGCAAACAGGAUUAGAUACCCUGGUAGUCC